AUGUGGCUCUUCGACCGCCUGCCCCCCAUGGACCACCUCCGCUCCGAGAAGAUGUGCCUCGUGCAGCUCAUUUUCCCCGCCGAGAGCGCGCGCCUCGCCGUCACCUACCUCGGCGAGCUCGGCCUCCUCCAGUUCAAGGACUUGAAUGAGGAUAAGAGUCCUUUUCAGCGUAUAUUCGUCAACCAGGUAAAGCGAUGUGCAGAGAUGAAUCGUAAGCUGAAGUUUUUCAGUGAUCAGAUCAACAAGGCAGGUGUUAAAUCUUCUGUCCGGCCUGCACUACAACCAGAAAUUGAUUUGGAGGAGCUAGAGGCAAAAUUGGGUGAGCAUGAGCAUGAGCUGCUUGAGAUGAAUACUAAUAGUGGGACACUACGGCAGACAUACAAUGAACUUCUUGAAUUCAAACUGGUCUUGUCAAAGGCAGGUAGCAUCCUUGCUGCUUCUCAAAAUCAUGCAACUCCAGCUGACCAUGAGCUAGAUGAACAUAUAUAUGACAAGGAAGUGGAUGACGGAAAUGGCUAUUUGCUUGAACAGGGAAUACAUCAAGGGGCCUCGGAAUCUGGUGUUAGGUUUGUUAGUGGGAUAAUAUUGAAGUCCAAGGCAUUGGCUUUUGAGAGGAUGCUUUUCCGAACUACAAGGGGAAAUAUGUUUUUCAAUGAGGCAUCUGCAGGGGAACCUGUUAUGGAUCCCAGUUCUGGUGAAGAGGUAGAGAAGACUGUUUUUGUAGUUUUCUUUUCGGGGGAGCAGGCUAAAGCAAAAAUAUUGAGGAUUUGUGCUUCAUUUGGAGCAAAUUGCUACCCUGUUCCUGAGGAGAUUGUCAAGCAGAGACAAAUUUUUCGUGAGGUAUCAUCACGCCUCUCCGAUCUAGAAGUCACCUUGGAUGCUGGAACCCAACACAGAAACAAAGCACUCGAGUCAGUAGGGUCCCAAUUAUGGAGGUGGAUACUCAUGGUAAAAAAAGAGAAAGCUGUUUAUGAUACACUAAACAUGCUGAACUUUGAUGUGACAAAGAAAUGCCUUGUUGGAGAAGGAUGGUGUCCAAUAUUUGCUAAAUCUCAGAUUGAGGAUGUUUUGCAGCGUGCAACUCUUCACAGCAACUCACAAGUUGGAAUAAUAUUUCAUGAGAUGGACACUAUUGACUCACCACCUACAUACUUCCGAACUGAUAAAUUUACAAAUGCUUUCCAGGAGAUCGUUGAUGCAUAUGGUGUUGGUCGAUAUGAAGAAAUUAAUCCAGCUGUAUAUUCUGUUAUCACGUUCCCAUUUCUGUUUGCUGUUAUGUUUGGAGAUUGGGGUCAUGGAAUAUGUCUGUUACUUGGAGCUUUGUUUCUUAUACUUCGUGAGAAGAAACUUUCCUCUCAGAAGCUUGAUAGCUUUACGGAGAUGGCAUUUGGUGGGCGUUAUGUGAUUCUUCUGAUGGCGUUGUUCUCAAUAUACUGUGGGCUCAUAUACAACGAAUUCUUUUCUGUUCCAUUCCAUAUCUUUGGCAAAUCUGCAUAUGCGUGUCGGGAAAAUUCCUGCAGUGAUGCAUAUACUGCUGGUCUCGUAAAAGUUCGUGAUCCCUACCCUUUUGGAGUGGACCCAAGUUGGCGUGGAAGUCGAUCUGAGUUACCCUUUCUAAAUUCUUUGAAGAUGAAGAUGUCCAUACUGAUGGGUGUCUCCCAGAUGAACUUAGGAAUUUUAUUGAGUUAUUUUGAUGCAAAGUUCCAUAAAAAUGCCCUAGACAUCAGGUACCAAUUCAUACCGCAGCUGAUUUUUCUGAAUAGCCUCUUUGGUUACUUAUCACUCCUGAUUCUCAUUAAGUGGUGCACGGGAUCUAAAGCCGAUCUGUAUCACGUGAUGAUAUAUAUGUUCCUUGACCCUGCUGGAGAUCUUGGAGAGAAUCAACUUUUUUGGGGACAGAAGGAACUCCAGAUACUUUUGUUGCUUCUGGCCCUAGUAGCUGUUCCAUGGAUGCUCUUCCCAAAGCCUUUCAUUCUAAAGAAACUUCAUAAGGAGAGAUUUCAAGGUCACAGCUAUCGCUUCCUUGGGACAUCUGAAAUGGAUCCAGAUUCUGAACCGGACUCUGCCCGUUCACGUCAUGAUGAUUUCAAUUUUGGUGAAGUUUUUGUGCAUCAAAUGAUACACUCCAUCGAGUUUGUUCUUGGGGCUGUCUCAAAUACUGCAUCAUACCUUCGACUUUGGGCCUUGAGCUUGGCACAUUCUGAGCUAUCAACAGUCUUCUACGAGAAGUUGCUGCUAUUUGCAUGGGGGUAUGACAGCCUCAUCUUUAAGUUAGUGGGGCUCAUAGUUUUUGCUUUUGCUACUGCCUUCAUAUUGCUCGGGAUGGAAUCGUUAAGUGCCUUUCUUCAUGCAUUGCGUCUACACUGGGUCGAGUUCAUGAACAAGUUCUAUCACGGGGAUGGCUACAAAUUCAAACCAUUCUCAUUUGCUACGCUAGCAGACGACGAAGAAUGA
This 2454-nucleotide ribosomal RNA is filed under the name Triticum aestivum (bread wheat). RNAcentral's name for it is "partial small subunit ribosomal RNA". The record is from RNAcentral. Lineage: Eukaryota; Viridiplantae; Streptophyta; Magnoliopsida; Poales; Poaceae.